This 542-nucleotide small RNA is filed under the name Pongo abelii (Sumatran orangutan). Its description in RNAcentral is "processed transcript". Lineage: Eukaryota; Metazoa; Chordata; Mammalia; Primates; Hominidae. The record is from RNAcentral.
AGAGUUCAUGGCUCCACUGCCUCUAGCAGAGGUAUUUAAAGCGAUGAGCAUGGAUAAGCUUGAAGAGUUCAGCGGGGUGUUGAACUGCAUCCUGCAUCUGAUUGGCAGGAUUUAAAUUGAUGUUCCAAAGUACUGGCUGUGUGAUCUUAGAUGGACCCUGUGCAGAAGGCUGUGCUCUCCCACACUUUUGGGGGACCCUUGCUCAAGACCAAGCGGCCUGUCAUUUCCUGUAAUGUCUGUCAAAUCCGCUUCAAUUCUCAGAGCCAGGCUGAGGCACACUACAAGGGUAAUCGCCACGCCCGACGAGUCAAAGGCAUUGAGGCCGCCAAGACCAGAGGCAGGGAGCCUGGCGUCCGAGAACCUGGAGACCCAGCCCCCCCAGGCAGCACCCCAACAAAUGGGGAUGGUGUAGCACCCCGUCCAGAGUCUCACUCUGUUGCCCAGGCUAGAGUGCAGUGGCACAAUCUCAGCUCACUGCAAACUCCACCUCCUGGGUUCAAGCGAUUCUCCUGCCUCAGCCUCCUGAGUAGCUGGGAUUAUAG